Molecule: ribosomal RNA, 630 nt
Filed under: Filobasidium globisporum
Lineage: Eukaryota; Fungi; Basidiomycota; Tremellomycetes; Filobasidiales; Filobasidiaceae
Description: eukaryotic LSU rRNA
Rfam family: Eukaryotic large subunit ribosomal RNA
Source: RNAcentral
UAAGCGGAGGAAAAGAAACUAACAAGGAUUCCCCUAGUAACGGCGAGUGAAGCGGGAAGAGCUCAAAUUUGAAAUCUGGUGGCCUCAGGUCAUCCGAGUUGUAAUCUAUAGAAGUGUUUUCCGUGCUGGCUCAUGUACAAGUCCCUUGGAACAGGGCGUCAUAGAGGGUGAGAAUCCCGUCCUUGACAUGAACUACCAGUGCUCUGUGAUACAUUUUCAACGAGUCGAGUUGUUUGGGAAUGCAGCUCAAAAUGGGUGGUAAAUUCCAUCUAAAGCUAAAUAUUGGCGAGAGACCGAUAGCGAACAAGUACCGUGAGGGAAAGAUGAAAAGCACUUUGGAAAGAGAGUUAAACAGUAUGUGAAAUUGUUAAAAGGGAAACGAUUGAAGUCAGUCGUGCUCUUUGGAUUCAGCCGGUUCUGCCGGUGUACUUCCUUUGAGUGGGGUCAACAUCAGUUUUGAUCGCUGGAUAAAGGCUGGAGGAACGUAGCACCCCCGGGUGAACUUAUAGCCUCCUGUCACAUACAGUGGUUGGGACUGAGGAACGCAGCACGCCUUUAUGGCCGGGAUUCGUCCACGUACGUGCUUAGGAUGUUGACAUAAUGGCUUUAAACGACCCGUCUUGAAACACG